AUGGGGAUGGCCAUGCCCGCGCUGAUGCCGUCGGCCGACGUUGAUGAGAGCAUCACGGUCGACAACGGCUCCAACGACCUCUCCAGGAGCUUCUCCAUCAGCUCCUCGGACGACACCAACUCCAUUAUCAUGUUCUCCACACCCGGAAGCAAGAAGGCCAAGGUGCUCAUCGACACCGAUGGCGGCAUGUUUGGCAUGUUGACCACGUAUUUGGACAUGCCCGGCAUGGACGACUAUCUGCAGCUGCAGCAGGACUUCAUCGCCUGCACAGUCCACACCAAGCAUGGCUGCGCCACUCACCCACGAAGCAUCGCUGAGAGGGAAAGAAGAGCAAGCAAUAGCAAGAGGCUAAGGAGGCUGCAAGACUUUGUGCCCAAUAUGGACAAGCAAACAACUAUGUCAGACAAAGAUCUGGAGUACCUGCUCAUAUCUGGUGAGCGGGUAGCCUCUCGCCCCAAACGCCCAAGCUCCUGGUGGUAUCCUACUCCACUCGGUUUCUUCUUCUUCCAUGCCUACACAGCUCUAGCUUUUUUUUAG
RNAcentral lists this ribosomal RNA (537 nucleotides) under Triticum aestivum (bread wheat). RNAcentral describes it as "partial small subunit ribosomal RNA". The record is from RNAcentral. Lineage: Eukaryota; Viridiplantae; Streptophyta; Magnoliopsida; Poales; Poaceae.